CCGUUGGGUGACGCGGAGGGAUCAUU
RNAcentral lists this ribosomal RNA (26 nucleotides) under Pestalotiopsis vismiae. RNAcentral describes it as "partial 18S ribosomal RNA". The record is from RNAcentral. Lineage: Eukaryota; Fungi; Ascomycota; Sordariomycetes; Amphisphaeriales; Sporocadaceae.